Molecule: long non-coding RNA, 649 nt
Organism: Hevea brasiliensis (rubber tree)
Lineage: Eukaryota; Viridiplantae; Streptophyta; Magnoliopsida; Malpighiales; Euphorbiaceae
Exons: 3
Source: RefSeq, a predicted model, not a curated record
AAUAUGGAGCCAAAAGUCCUCUCGACAACAAGGAAUAUAAAUAGCCUUUUUAAAUUAAAAAUUUAAAGAAAAAUCCAGUUUUCCUCUCUUCUGGUUACUGUUACAUGCAAUUGGGGUUUUAACAAAAUUCUUCUCAGAAAUCUCCCUUCUUUUCAAUAAUCUUUCUUUGUUGAUCAAGAGUAUAUGAUUUUAAUCUAGUUUUGGUGAGAAGCAAGAAAUAAUUUAUAGCUUUCAAAGGGUAGAUUUACAGGUUAAAGAAAGGAUCGGAUGUGAGGAACUCGAAAGGCUACAAUUAAGGAUUCGUUACCUUUCACGAAUACGGUGUUUAAUAGGCUUCAAGAGGCACGACAUUUGCUUAUUGGCAGUCAGGCAGUGCCAUAAAAUAUGGAGACACUCCUGCUCAGCUUGCCCUUGCUUGGGUUCUCAAUCAAGGAGAAGAUGUGGUUCCCAUCCCUGGCAAGUCAACUUCUCCUUUUGUUCAUGUUUUCAUUUGAACUACAGAUAUUUAGAUCAACGUACCAAAUUCCAGUUUGCAAUAAAUGCCUUCAUGGAAUUGUUUAGGUACAGCCAAGAUUAAAAAUCUGGAAGAAAUUUCCGCCUUCCUGCAAUAUGUCACUAGUGAAUUGUAGUGCAUCAGAUUUGCUAAUUU